Molecule: long non-coding RNA, 767 nt
Organism: Cololabis saira (Pacific saury)
Lineage: Eukaryota; Metazoa; Chordata; Actinopteri; Beloniformes; Belonidae
Exons: 3
Source: RefSeq, a predicted model, not a curated record
AUGACAACAAUCCCUCCACCACCAUCAACAACAUUCACCUCUGCUAGAAAUGAUGAAACAGGUAACAAGACUGAUCAUAACAAAACUGUGAUCAGUGAUGAAGAGGAUGGUGAUGAUGAUGUGGUGACCUAUGAAAAUACCGAAGCCCUGCCUGCUUCUGUUCAAUCCACAGAUCAAUAAAUCAGCUGGAAAAACAGAUCUGACCUGAGCAGGAAUGAACUCCAGCUUACCUUGGUACAGAAUGGAAAAAAAAGGCUUUGUUUCCUGUAUUUCUGCAUAAACUGGGACUAUAGUAAAACAAAAUAAUUUUCUUUAAGUGAGAUGGUAAUACCUUGUUCCUAGAUUUAUACAUGAAUUGUGCAGUUUGGAAUUCCACUAUGUCAAAAAAUUUGAUUAUUUUAUAAUUGAAGAAUAAUUAAUUAGUGUGUUCACAAAAACCGGCCUUAUGAAUUAUCCUUAUGGCUCUUUUCUGCAGUAUGAAUAGUGGUUGCAGUGAACUUUUAUUAGUAUUUCCCCAAACCUCUAAACAGUAACUUAGAUAAGGCAAAACCAGGGAACAGAACAGAAUGCAGAGUGAUUUGUUAUCCAGGAAUUGCUUUGCUUUGGCCAGAACUGAGAUGCCUCUAGAUACUUUGUUGUUGAUGUGUUUAAUAUGAGAUUUCCAGCAAAUCUUGUCAUCUAUAAUUACCCCAAGAAAUGUAGUUUCAUGUACUCUUUCAAUGUUUACACCCUCGAUCUGUACCUGUGCUUGAUUGUUUUUAUUGUUU